Balaenoptera musculus (blue whale) is the source of this 5498-nucleotide RNA transcript. It is a transcript of the gene named mediator complex subunit 16, with no coding region annotated. The transcript is spliced from 18 exons. NCBI's taxonomy places the organism in Eukaryota, Metazoa, Chordata, Mammalia, Artiodactyla, Balaenopteridae. The record is from RefSeq and is a predicted model, not a curated record.
UUCUACCAAAUAUGACUCAGGUGGCUGCUGGGAAUCCAUGAUCGCAUGCAAAUUAUACCGGAAGAGGGGCGGAGCCGGAGCCGCUGCCGUCCCAGAAGUCUCCGGGAAGCGGCUGCGCUGCGCGGGCGAAUCUUUGCUCCUGGGAAGAUGGCGGCGGCGGAGCCGGGGCAUUAGGGCGAGUGCAGGCUGCGGCCACCCGCUCGGCUGGGCGCACAGGCCGGCCCGGGUCCCAUGCCACUCCUUGAGUGCCCAGACUCAGUCCAGCCUCUGGUUCUUUGCACUGGCUUUUCCGUCCACCUGGAAUGCUCUUCCUUCAGGCUGCUUGCCUCAAUCCCUCACACCUCCACCAGGGAGGCCUCCCUGGCCACGCGUGGGCACAAUGGACCUGGCUUACAUCUGCGAGUGGGAGAAAUGGCCCAAGAGCACCCACUGCCCGUCGGUGCCCCUGGCCUGCACCUGGUCCUGCCGUAACCUCAUCGCCUUCACCACGGACCUGCGGAGUGAUGACCAGGACCUGACCCGCAUGAUCCACGUCCUGGACACCGAGCACCCCUGGGACGUGCACUCCAUCCGCUCGGAGCACAGCGAAGCCAUCACCUGCCUCGAGUGGGACCAGUCAGGCUCGAGGCUGCUGUCGGCUGAUGCCGAUGGGCAAAUCAAGUGCUGGAGCAUGGCCGACCACCUGGCCAACAGCUGGGAGAGCCCCGUGGGCAGCCUGGUGGAGGGGGACCCCAUCGUGGCCUUGUCGUGGCUGCACAACGGUGUGAAGCUGGCCCUGCACGUGGAAAAGUCGGGCGCCUCCAGCUUUGGCGAGAAGUUCUCCCGAGUCAAGUUCUCGCCAUCGCUCACGCUGUUUGGGGGCAAGCCCAUGGAGGGCUGGAUUGCAGUGACGGUCAGCGGCCUGGUCACCGUGUCCCUGCUCAAGCCCAGCGGGCAAGUGCUGACCUCGACGGAGAGCCUGUGCCGGCUGCGUGGUCGCGUGGCCCUGGCCGACAUCGCCUUCACGGGCGGCGGCAACAUCGUGGUGGCCACGGCAGACGGCAGCAGCGCAUCCCCAGUGCAGUUCUACAAGGUGUGCGUGAGCGUCGUCAAUGAGAAGUGCCGCAUCGACACCGAGAUCCUGCCCUCGCUCUUCAUGCGCUGCACCACUGACCUCAACCGCCGGGACCGGCUCCCCGCCAUCACCCACCUCAAGUUCCUGGCCCGAGACAUGUCAGAGCAGGUGCUGCUGUGUGCGUCCAGCCAGACCAGCAGCGUGGUGGAGUGCUGGUCUCUGCGCAAGGAGGGGCUCCCUGUGAACAACAUCUUCCAGCAGCUCUCGCCCGCCGUUGGUGACAAACAGCCCACAAUUCUCAAAUGGCGGAUCCUGUCAGCCACCAACGACCUGGACCGUGUGUCCGCCGUGGCGCUGCCCAAGCUCCCCAUCUCGCUCACCAACACUGACCUGAAGGUGGCCAGCGACACCCAGUUCUACCCCGGCCUCGGGCUGGCCCUGGCCUUCCAUGACGGCAGCGUCCACAUCGUGCACCGGCUCUCGCUGCAGACCAUGGCCAUCUUCUAUAGCUCCGCAGCCCCGCGCUCCGUGGACGAGCCGGCUAUCAAGCGCCCUCGGACCACAGGCCCCGCCGUCCACUUCAAGGCCAUGCAGCUCUCCUGGACUUCCCUGGCCCUCGUGGGCAUCGACAACCACGGCAGGCUGAGCAUGUUGCGCAUCUCGCCCUCCAUGGGCCACUCGCUGGACGCGGGGCUGGCCCUGCGGCACCUGCUCUUCCUGCUGGAGUACUGCAUGGUGACCGGCUACGACUGGUGGGACAUCCUGCUGCACGUGCAGCCCAGCAUGGUGCAGAGCCUGGUGGAGAAGCUGCAUGAGGAGUACACGCGCCAGAAGGCCGAGCUGCAGCAGGUCCUCUCUACCCGGAUCCUGGCCAUGAAGGCCUCGCUCUGCAAGCUGUCGCCCUGCGCAGUGACCCGCGUGUGCGAGUACCACGCCAAGCUCUUCCUCAUCGCCGCCAGCUCCACGCUCAAGUCGCUGCUGCGCCCGCACGUGCUCAACACGCCCGACAAGAGUCCCGGCGACCGGCUGACGGAGAUCUGCGCCAAGAUCACGGACGUCGACAUUGACAAGGUCAUGAUCAACCUCAAGACGGAGGAGUUCGUCCUGGACAUGAACACGCUCCAGGCGCUGCAGCAGCUCCUGCAGUGGGUGGGCGACUUCGUGCUCUACCUGCUGGCUAGUCUGCCCAACCAGGGCUCCCCGCUGCGGCCCGGCCACAGCUUCCUGCGGGAUGGCACGUCGCUGGGCAUGCUGCGGGAGCUGAUGGUCGUCAUCCGCAUCUGGGGCCUGCUGAAGCCCAGCUGCCUGCCUGUGUACACGGCCACCUCUGACACCCAGGACAGCAUGUCCCUGCUCUUCCGCCUGCUCACCAAGCUCUGGAUCUGCUGCCGCGAGGAGGGCCCCACGAGUGAGCCGGAUGAGGCGCUCGUUGACGAGUGCUGCCUGCUGCCCAGCCAGCUGCUCAUCCCCAGCCUGGACUGGCUGCCUGUCAGCGACGGCCUCGUCAGCCGCCUGCAGCCCAAGCAGCCGCUGCGUCUGCACUUCGGCAAGCCUCCCGCUCUGCCCGGCAGUGCCACCAGCUUGCAGCUGGACGGCCUCAUCAGGACGCCGGGCCAGCCCAAGAUGGACCACCUGCGGAGGCUGCACCUGGGCGCCUACCCGACGGAGGCCUGCAAGGCCUGCACCAGGUGCGGCUGUGUCACCAUGCUCAAGUCACCCAACAAGACCACGGCUGUCAAACAGUGGGAGCAGCGCUGGAUCAAGAACUGCCUGUGUGGGGGGCUCUGGUGGCGGAUGCCCCUCAGCUACCCCUGACUGCGCCCAGGCCCCUUAUGAUAAUCUCUGGAUCCAUCCAUGUUGCUGCAAAUGGUUGUUUUCGUUUUGUUUAUGGUUUCCUUUGCUGUGCAAAAUGUCAGUGGAUUCCCAAUGGGUUUAAAGGAAAGGCACGCUGUCCCCUUGCUGGUCACAGAGCAGCCACGCACUCCAGACCUUCAUUGGGUGCGUGAGACAAUGCCACCCUUGAACUAUGCUUUUGGGCCCUUAUCAGCUGCGGCCAGCACCUGUGUAACCGGCAGGGGCAGGUGAGGACACGGCCUGAAGCCUCAAGUUGGCACCCUCGGCCCAGCGGGCCCUGCUCUUUCUUCCUCGGAGCCUACAGGCGGAUCCGGGUGGAGGGGCCUGGCCGCAUGGCCACCAUAACAGGUGGGUGACUGAGACAGGCCUGGGCCUGCCCUGAGGAUCUCACUGCCCCGGGUAGAGCCACGGCUGUGUCCCGACCCCUGGGACCCCAGAGCGCAGUGACCCGCCCUGGAUUUCCCAGGUCCCAGCUCAGAGGGUCCAGGACCAGCUCAGGCCUCUGUCCUUCAGAACAUCCCACAUGAAACCUGCCGGGUGUCCAGUGGCCACUGUCAGUGACACCAGCCCGGGCGUCUGCUUCGGGUUUCCUCACCUGUACCUGCCACUGCUGAGCCCCUCGCGACCGCCGUCUCUGACCUGGGCAGACCAGUAAACGUCCCCACUGGGUGGCUGGUGUCUUGUCGGUGUCCUGGGCGCCACCCGGCAGCCCCCUCGCCCCCGGAGCCUCCCUCCCUCUCCACAGGCAUGUGGUUCUGCCCCUGUGUGUGCUGCUCUCCUGCUCUGUCAGCAUUUAUUGAGCACCUAGUGUCUGCCAGGCACAGGGGUCCCUGCACGGGGGAAGCAGUGGGCUGGACGUGGGUGGGGGCUGCUCCCCGCCGCCUGGGUUCCUGCGCACAUGAGUGUCUCUGUCUCUGCUUUCCCUCUGCAUCCCUCCCCCUCCCCUCUCCCCUGGGUUUCCUGAGCUCCGUGGCCCCCAGGGGUCCUGCUUCGCCAGCAGCCGCUUCCACCCAUUAUGCCUGGCUCCCCGCAGGCCCCCGGCACAGCGCCUGCCUGUUAAGUGGUGAUUGCUUCUCUUGUUUUCCUUCUGGAGGCGAAAGGGAGGGCAGGCCGGCCGGGCGCCCCGCGGAGUUCAACACGCGGCAGCGGUGUCUGUCGGGCUUUCAGGGGCUGGCAGCGCUCCAGGGGCCCCAUUUCCUGGGCCAGGGGCCGCUUCCCCGCCGGCCCGCCCACCUGCGGCAGCAGCACUUGGCGUCUAGGUCCUGCCGUCCAAGAGGUGCUUCUGCGGGGACCUGUGGGGACCCGGAGCUGCUGGCUGUGCCGGGAGGGGUGGAGACACCCUGCCUUGGACUCACCUCCCGUGCUGCUGCCACCGCCUUCUGUCGCCUUGGGGAAAGGGGACCCAGGGCUGCCUCCCUGGUCGAGGGGCAUGUGGUCCACGUUCCUACAUAUUUUUUCUCAGCCUUCUACCCCAUUUGACCAUGUUUUUUUAAGCAACUUGUGUCUCUCAAGUCAUUUGAAGUCUUUAAACCAGUUAUUUGUCUUAGGAAAAUGAGCCUGUUUCUUGCACUCAUGUUUCAUUGGUUAAGGUUAAAUUGUGGGCAUUUACACCCCGGCCACCAUCUUCGGACGUUCCCUGGAAGGUGGGUCCGCAUAUCCUCCCCUUGGGUCUGGGGCUCACACCUGUUCCCAUCUGUCCUAUGCAGGGGAAGUGGCCCUGGGUGACCCUGAGGCUGGUGGGAACCGGCCUGGCUCCUGGGCCCUCAUCCUGGAGCCUCCAGGCCUCUGGUCAUCUAGGUGGUGGGACAGGGACACGCGCCCCUCCCCCCCACAUCCUUGUGACCCGGACCCGCACAAGCUGAGCGCAGUGAAUGACGAACGGGGAUGGCUCUGCGUCGCCGAGUUUGGGGCAGUUUGUUACGCAGCAGCAGAUAACUGGAACGCUCCGUGAACUGCUGUGACAAGCCCAGGGGGCAUAAGCGGGCCCGGCUGUCCAGAAGCGUCGGGCUCAUCUGGGGGCCGUGGGGGGGCCACCUACUGAGGGCCCUGCUGGAAUGUUCCUCCAGGUUGGGAGGGGAUUUGUGGGUGGGGAUGUUCCCUUGCCCCCCGUCCUGCCCCCACCAUGUGUCCACACGGGUCCUCCCCUCUGGGGUCAACAAGGGCAGGUGUUACUGUGACAGGAAGAGGCAGGUCAGUCCGUCGGGCUGCGUGUCCACUGUGCCCUCAGCCUCCUCAGAGCCAGGUCCACGGGUCCCAGCUGCAGGUGAGGAGGCCGAGGCCACCAUCCUCUGGAAAUAGAAGCGGGAAGCUGCCCUUGACUCCCCAUGGCAAGUGGGCUGCCGUCUGCAGUGGGGGGGCACGGCCACGUGGGCCACCCUCCCUGCACGCUCCUCCUCCCCUGUGGCUCAGGGUUGUCCCCUCCCCCUCCCACCAGCAUCCGUGGGGAAGUUGCUAGAAGAGGCCCUGCAGGGUCACAGGGCUCUCAGACGGCUGUGUCACAGGGACUUCUGAGUUUUCAUGUGACUGCAGAAACCCCCCAUGGGGUAGAAAGCAUGGAGCCUAUGUCUCCUGCCUGGAGACCCACAGACCC